Molecule: ribosomal RNA, 388 nt
Filed under: uncultured bacterium
Lineage: Bacteria
Description: bacterial SSU rRNA
Rfam family: Bacterial small subunit ribosomal RNA
Source: RNAcentral
GACGAACGCUGGCGGCGUGCUUAACACAUGCAAGUCGAGCGGUAAGGCCCUUUCGGGGGUACACGAGCGGCGAACGGGUGAGUAACACGUGGGUGACCUGCCCUCAGCUCUGGGAUAAGCCUGGGAAACUGGGUCUAAUACUGGAUAUGACUCCACGGUGCAUGUCGUGGGGUGGAAAGCCUUGUGCGGCUGAGGAUGGGCCCNCGGCCUAUCAGCUUGUUGGUGGGGUGANGGCCUACCAAGGCGACGACGGGUAGCCGGCCUGAGAGGGCGACCGGCCACACUGGGACUGAGACACGGCCCAGACUCCUACGGGAGGCAGCAGUGGGGAAUCUUGCGCAAUGGGCGAAAGCCUGACGCAGCGACGCCGCGUGAGGGAUGACGGCCU